CACACACACACACACACCGCUUUCUGUAAAAGCAUCUUCUCGUCAUCUUGCCCCUCUCUCUGUUAUCACGUGAAAUUUGGUAAUAUCGCAUCCGAUCUGCACUUAGUUAUCUUGCCUCCGCCUCCAUCCACACAGCAGUGGUUGCAGAGACUUAAUUCUCUUCUACUUAGGAAAAAAAAAGCCCAAAGCCCCUUUUAAUAAGCGUUUUCAGGGUCGUCUGUUGGCGCUGCUGCACGUCAUUCAGAAAAUACCGUUUUGUGCCUGCCCAUCCGUCAGACGAAUCCACCGCCGAUCACUGCGUUCUUAUUUCUCUGCUAGGAAAUCCAAUAAAUCCUCGGAAGUGGUCAGAGCCUUCCAGCGAACUGUUUUCCGUAGGAUAAUGUUAACUCUUCCACAUGGAAGUAUUACGCUGGAAUAGGUCUGUUUCGCUACAUUUUCAUUUUGAACGCUAUCAGAGCAAAGCACUGCGAGCACGUCUUUCCGUCUCUGUUGACAAUAUAAUUAACACUUGACAUCCAUUUUGAAGCAAUUUUUAUUAUAAUUUACCUUGCUUCACCGAGCAGUCUAAGAUCAAGUUCCAGACAAAAACGAAAUUUGCGAUCUUAACUAAGCAAAAUGCUUCCGUUGAUCCAAAACAUUUUUUUUUCAAUUGCCGUUCCAUGAGAAAUGUCAAAAUUUGGACAGGUUGUUCCUAUUUGGAAUGAAAGCUCGUUUUAAAAUUUAGACUAUCUUCUAGAGCGAGUUUGACCAGUUCUGUAAAUGAAAGUCACACUGGAUUGGAAAAACGAAUCAAAACAACCACAUCACAGAAUUAGAGACUUCAGAGUUAACACCUCAGGGUAGUUAGAUAGCCUAUUAAUAGUCUCACCCCUCUUUGCUAUAAAAAGAAGGCAGAGUGCUCCGGCUUCAGGACCAGGCUAUGCGCAAGCAAACGGGGCGGGGGAGCUACCCUAAAAUUUGAGGAACGACGGCUCUGAGCGCUCGUCCCUGGGGUGUCACGGCCACCAGAUUCACAUGCAGGCAGGACCGAGACCGAGCGCAUCGCGGGAGGUUUCCGACGAGGUGUGCGGGGCAGACGGACACAGCGACACACCGAUGGGCAAACUGCCCCCCCCGGAUCCCCGCACCAAACCCCGGCACAGGGCGGGGGCACCCCCGGGACGGGGAAAAGGGGCGACAUUUUUAAUAUUUAAAAAAAUAUUUUAAUAUUUUAAAAUACGACAAAAUGCUUAAAAGACCCGGCGGCGCCUGCGGGGCGGCGGGUGCAGCCGCCCCCGGUCCCAGCCCCGGCCGCGGCCCCGGCGCGGCUGCUGCGCGGAGGGCGCGGGCAGAGCGGCGGGGGCAGGUCGCGGCCAGGCACUGCGCAGCCCCCGAGACGGCGGGGGCAUGACGGCUCCCUCACCUCCUAGCUCGGAAGAAAGGCAACGCCUCUCUCUUUUCUCUCUCUCUCUCUCUUUUUUUCUUUUUCUUUUUCUUUUUUUUUUCUCCCGGUGUCAGUGGCUCCGUGGACAUAGCCCCGUGUUUGCAAUUAAGCGCAUAAAUAUGUACGUUCGCCGUGCGAAUGCAGCAAUUUCCAUUUCGGUCGUGCAGUCGCUGUCAGUGUUUAUCCGUCUCCCUUGAGCCUCCAGGACCAAAGGGGCUGUGCAAAUCGUUUGCAUUUUUCGAUGAUUUUAGGAAAACCUUGUUUUGUACUGCUGUUAUUGCUGGUCACACCGAACAUCUAAUUAAUUAAUAAAUAGCAUCAAUAUUUUCAAAUAAUAGAAGCAACAAAUUGAAAGUCUAUUGCUUCAAAAGAUGCUUAUAACUAGAUGACUAUAUUGUAUUUUUCCACUGCUGUUAUUGACGUAUUAAAAAACCUCACAGAUGACUGAAUGUUAAGGACCCAAAGUACUCUAUUUUAAGCCGGAUUAGAUGAAUAUGAGCAAAAGGUAGUGUAGUCUGGUGUAUAUAAGGACUUUUUUUUCACUCUUUCAUUUUUUACAUUCAUCACCCUUGGUGGGCAUAAUACCUGCCUAAGAAUUUAAACACAUUAGUAGCAUAGCAGAUGGAAAUAACUGAAAUUUUAUUGGUUAUUUUCAGUAUUCAUAAUAUCAGCAGAGGUAGGAAGCCUUUUUCUUAAAUAAUCAAUCCUCAGAGUAAAUGAGUGUGAAGGUUGACAUAAGGUACGUGUCACUAUUUUCAAGAAAAAAAAAUUAUUUAGUCAUUUUUGAUACUCUGAACAACAAAUAUGCUCUAAACCAAGUAAUUGUAUUCCGAGAUAACCUCAAGGAUUUGCUGCUAACAAAUGCUAUUAUGAUUAGUAAUCAGGAUGGUAUCUGGAGCAUUUUGCAUUUAUUGAGGUCAAUCAAACAUAAGUUUAGCCAUGUUCAACUCUAAUAUUCAGCUGUGAAAUACUGCAGAAAAGUUUCAUUAUAGGUUUAUAUGUAUAACUUGCUUUAUUUCAGCCUUGCACCAGUGCACUUUUGAUUUUUAGGACACUGCUGUACAUUAGUUUUUCUGACAAUGAAAUUACAGGCUGACUCUAGUGCAUGUGAACCAAUGUUUAUAAAGAAGCCCAGGCUCUGUAUCUUUUCUCAUUUACUUAGAUCCUCAAAUGGUCUAAGUCAACUUACUCAGCUGGAAAUAGUCCCCAUUCAUGGUGACUUAAGUAUGAAGUGUCAGUCCCAGAGACCUCCAUGGAAACACCUAUCGAAGCAGUAAACCUGGCUAAUGGAGCCGUUCUGGGUUUAGCAAUAGGAAUUGCUGCACUGCCCUGGCAUUUGCAAUUGCAGCUUAACCAAGCUGGCUUUAAGCAGGUCCUGUCCCAGAAAUGUUCGGACACCUAACAUUGUUCUGUUACCACAUCUGGGUAGCUAUUGGUACCAUACAAACCCAUCCAGUGCUAACUUAGCAAUUAAAAUAGUUCCUGUAAUGAACUUAACAACAGUAAGCGUAAGGUAGAUGCUCCCUGUGCUUCAUGUCAGGCUCUGUCAGGUUUGCCAGCAUCCCUUCACGAUGCUGUUGCCACCACUUGCAGGGGGCCAGUAACUCUAGUGGAAGUGUGAAAAGAGCAGUUAAGGCAGUGUCAUGGCACGGCAUCACCAGCAGAGAUGGUCUAUCGAAGCCCCGGGCGGGCUGGGAGACAAAAACACAGCGGCGCUCAGCUCAGCUGUGGGCGUUUCUCUAGGACUCAGUGUCCCAGCUGUGAUUCAGUCCCCAUGCGCACAGUGUCCUCCAGCUGACGUGAAGCCCAAACACGAAGCCUCUUGUUUUUCUGGUGCCGGCUCCAGGCAGCUUCCACAGUUAGGCACUUUCUUCUAGGACAUGAAGUGCCUGCAGCACCCGGCAGGAGGUUGGAGACAGACACAAGGAAGCGAGGAGGCAGCAAACAUUUGGAUUCUCUCUUACUCAUCGGCAGGUCUAAGGAGGGCAUAAGAAAGUGUGCAAAGUGGGCUUUUGGGGGCAUACAGUUCUGAUGACUUCAAGGAGCAUAGCUGAGGGUGAAGCUGAAGCUUUUCCCCCAAAUGCCCUUAACAGGACACCGGUGCAGUACAACUCCCUGCAGGCCCCCAGCCUGUCUAUAAAUGAAAAUGUUUCAAUUUCUAUGCACCGCUGAACUCCUUCCCUCCAAAACUCUCAUGUCAGUCAAAACAUUUCCUUUUAUCCAAAAUAAAGCCUUUCACUUUCUUUUGGAAUCAUUUAACUCUUCAAAUAAAAUGAUCAGCUUUGAAGCAAGGAACCAAAAAGGUACUUUGAAUUUUCCUCUCUUUUUCAAUUUGGCUAACAGGGUCACCUCUGGAGUAGGAGGAAAAGUCUGUAACAUCUGGCCUCUCUUCCCUUCACAGCCUGGACUAACACCCAAGAUCUCUGCUCCUCAUCCCUGCUCGGCUGCCAGAAAUGAUGGUGAAACCCACUGUUCUCCUGCUAGUGACAAGGGCACAGAGAAAGCAACAGCCUGCUGCCAUCCCCAACUGCUCUGCUAGCUCAAGAGUCAGAAGUCUGUGCGUCGAGUUUCAAGUUUUUAAUUUUGUUACUGAACAAGGUAGGGGCCGACAUGAGUACUGUCCAUGAUAAUUCACUCAUGCAAUUUCAGGGGGAUGUAAUUCAGCUUAAGACUAGAAUUUAGGCUCUAACGCUAAUUCUAGUACUUACUACCUACAAGAAUAAUUACACUUGCAAACCCAGUGUGCUGCCUGUGCUAAGUUUUCAUGUCUCAGCUUUGCUUUUGAUAGCUUCAACAGAUUUGUUGAAUGACGUCUCCUUUAGAGGGACUUUUCCAAACAAAUUAAGUUCAUUUCGGCUCACAAGAAAUGGAAAAACAUAUUUUUUCUUGUGCCUGCUUGGAGCUGUGUGUGCUUCCGAGGUCCAGAAGGUGACACAUCUCCCACAAGCAUUCCCUCUAAUACAUGUAUAGAGAAGAAAUGAAUAGUUGUGAGCUGUAAUUACUAGACAGUUAAAAGAUAUUCUGGGCAAAAAUAUGUUAAUCAUAGCUAAUCAUAUGGAUUUGUGGGACAUAGAGUUGACCAGGAUGAGUUUACAAAGAGAAUCAGAAAACAAAUACAUAAAUCUGAACGGGCAAAGUAGGCACACUGAAUGUAACAGGGUUACGUACUUGGACGAAAUGAGCGGGAUGGGCCCUGGAAGAGCUUAGCUGAACGUUAAAUGAGAGCAUUUAGGCUGAAUUCUUCACCUUGGCUAGGCUAUUUGGACAGAGCUGGUGUUAGCAGGAUAUGCUGUUUCUUUUGUUAUGUUUAAGGUUAGAAUUAGGGAGAAAUGCUGGUGGACUGGAAUGGGGGGCUGAUAGGGACAGUCUUAUUCAGGGCUUUUUUACUGCCUUGGAGAGGACUGAAAAAAUAGAAACUAGGAGUUAGUAAGCUGGGCAAGAGCUGCAGCAAGAAGUGGGGUUUGCUGGUGCCCAGGCGGCAGAGAAGGGGAGAAGAAGCUGCCAUGUCCAUGCUGCCAGUGGGGCCCGUGUGUUCCCUGGCCCCAGAGCCCCGGGGGAUGUUUGCACCCCGGCCCUGAAUGUGCUCUGUUCUCUGCUCUCCGAAGUAAGAGCCGCUGCCUUGAAUCCAUGCCCCAAGGCAGGCAUGAAGUGACUGCCGACCGCCCCAUCGGGUUUUGGAGGCUGGGGCUGGCUCACCAGCUGCCUUGACGCCAACUCUUCAUGUAAAGGCAGAAUCCAGUAGAGCUAGCAUCACCCUUUUCUAAAAGCAAUAGCAAUACAUAUCCUUCAGGGGAUUCAGCAUUACUGUUGUUCCCAGUAUCUGUCAGUCUGAAUGUUAAAAUUGUAUUGUUUAAUGGUUUGAAUUAUUUUAUCGGUCCUCUGUUUGGAAAGCAGAAUCCUGCUGUGUAAAGCUCAAGAAGUAAAUAAAAUCCAACGAUGAAGGACCGAAUUCCAGCGGGAGUCCUGCUGGAGAAAGGGCUGCACAGGUUGACCUAUUUAAUUAAAAUGUAAUAAAAUGCAAUUUCCCUUACAUCACCACUUUCUAGUGUCAACCUUAGUAUCACAAACUUGUUAAAAGCUGAGCAACGUGGUUCAUCUGCGGUUACCUCUCUGUAAAAAAAAAAGCAAAAAGAUGUUUUUGAGGAAAUGUGUUAAUAAUUAAAAAUAAACUUAAUGGCCUAAAUGAACAGUACUGACAAUAUUAAAAAGGGUAAUGACUUAAUUACUUCUGUUAUGUCAGUUAUUAAUUUGUGGCCCAUCAAGCUAUAAACCAGGAUAAUUUAUUGACUGCAAUAUAAACUGGAUAUGUGCCAUGUUAUUCAACAAAAACAAUACGCUGCAAAAACAAUACAGAGAAGAGGUAAUUUGUACAGAGUUCAUGAGACAAUUAUAUCAUCUAAUUACAAAACUGACUCACUAUGCCCUUGGCUCUAUUUAUUAGAAGAACAUUGAAGGACAUCCUCAACAUUCUCAGAGUCUAGCUAUUUAAACUUAAAUCCUGACCAUAUACACUCAAGCAUCCAGGAGCUGGUGUGAUCCAGGAGAUAGACCAGGAGACCCAAAGGAAUAUGUCUUGAUUUGGGAUUAGGAAUACUACUUAAUUUUGCUAUGUAUCAGAAAUUAAACUACCACCUCUUUUUUUUUUUUUUUCCCCCCUGAAAAGUGCUUUGAAACUCAAUCAAUAUUACUAAAAGUGUUUUGGAAAACUUUGACAAAUAAUUCAACACAAAGAAUACUACAGUAAUCAAUUAAUUAUCUCAAAAACUUUAUAGCAGUUUGAAAGAUGUCUUUUACAUGCAUGCACUUAACAUGCUUCUCUGCUAUUUCUGCUGGUAUAGUGCCUCUCUGGUGUAAUCUGGCAGUAGCACAGUAUGCAAGGGCCUGUGUUUUGUGUUCAAACAAAAGCAAGUCAUCAAGGUAUCUGAGCUGUCACACAUAACCAAGGCUCUGCGUAUAACUUGCUUUCUCACAGGGAAGCUCAUCAGAGCACAGAAACAACCAAGACCAAAACAACAGCAAGUUGCUGAAUUAUUUUUCAAAUUGCCAAAUCGUAUCUGUGCCGCAACCUUUUGAACUCUUUUCGGAUGUUUUUCCUUGAACAUUUUAUGUUAUUUAAGGAAUGUACAAAUAUUUUCUUAGUUGAUCAUGUAAUAAACUUCACUAAAUAAAACCCUUUUUGUAUCUGUUGUGAUGUUUCUUCUUAUUCUCAGUUUACUGUGUAUUUUAUAUUUGAACAGAUUUCAAUGGGCAACAUCUAGCCAUGCCAUAGUAAAAUGUGGAAGAGGCUAAUACUCCUGCAGAAUGAUUAUAACUAGUAUUCAUUUAUAAAGUGGGAAAAAAUCAGUUUCUCGUUACUUCUUUAUCAUUAAUAAUAAUGUUGGCUUGCAUGCAACACAUUUUAAAACUAAGGCCUGUGAGGAUCUAUGAGCUGGAUUAGCAAACAGAGAGCUUGGAAGACCGGCUUUAAUUUUGACCCUUGUGGGGAAGGCGUAGUUCUAUAUAUUGGAAGUAUAAUUCUACACUAUAUUGAAUUUGGUGCAAAACUGGCUUUAGAAAUCCUCUCCCCCUGCCUGGAGGGACUCCUCUGACUGGAAGAGUCACCACUGCCCCAGUGCAGCAACCCAUGGCCUUCUCCCCAUUGUGUUAGAGAAACUUCUUGUGGGACCAUCUUGUAGAAGAAAGAGGACUGAAAUGGUUAGGGUUAAAAAUCUCCCUCCCUCUCCUCCUCCCCAGAAGAGGUUUAUUUUUAACUUCCAUCACUUCAUGCACUGAUUUAAGCAUUGUCAUACACACAUUUGUUUUGGCACAAUCGAGGAGGUGACAAACUGCAGGCCAGAGGUGGGAACAAGCAUCUGGGGCAGGAGCUGGUUACAGCAGCUUAGCUGCCAAAGCCAGGGUAUCAUGGGACUACGGUGUGAUAGUUCAUUGUAUGAACUUAAACUUUGCCUUUCCUGAUUGUCUUCACAGCCGUAUAGCUUCUCUGCUGCAAAUCCAUAGUACAGAAGUGCUGCACCAGUAUGGCUUUUCUAUCCCAGGCCAGUUCAUUUACAGUAGGGAUUUGCAGUCAUGUGAGUUAUUUCAUGCAGAAACACAGUGUAGGCAAACCUUCGCCAAGUCACAAGGCCUGUAUCCUUAAAGGGAUUUAUUUAGAUGGCUACCAUUCAGUCAGUGGAAGGCUUAAAUGGACAAGGUUAGUAGCAUACAUGUAGUCAGAGACAAUAUCUUGGCCAUAGGGCAACAGCUACCUACACUACUCAGCUGUGAUCAUCCACCACUUGCAACUCUCUGAUCAUAUUCUUAGGUGUUUUGCUUACAUGCUAAAGGUCAAGCUGUCUGCGUGAUUCAGGGCUGAGUAAGAACUUCCUCCAAGUCUUUUUGGCCAGGAUUUGUGGUUCUUCCAUCUUUCCUCAAUGCAUGGGUCAUGAGUCACGUGAUGAAAUUGUUCAGGCCUCCCUUCUUAUCUCUCCAACUUCCUGACAUUUCACGGACCUCAGGCAAUGGUGGCUCUUUGAUUCCUUCUGUCCUCUGCCUGUGAAUUUCUCACCUAAGGACUCAAAAGCUAUAAUCUAAUUCAAGUUUUUGGAUACAGCUUUGUGAAUACUCGGGCAUACUUGAAUAGCCUUUACCACACAGGAGGUCAGAUAAUAUAUAAUCUUCUCCUCAUUAGGGUAAAAGUAUGUCCCUACCACGUUUCUAACCAACCGAUUCUAUUGGAUACAACACAGUACAUAGUACAACCCAUCCUGUAGUUUCCUAGACCAAAAACAAUGCAAGUAGUUUACCUGUAACAACAUCACAUCAUGACAUCUUAGCUGAGGGCUCCCAUCCAAAGCCCGUUGAAGUCAAUGGAAGAAAUACCCAAAAAUUCAGAGGGGGACUGGACCUCUCUGUACCUUCGGUGCUCCAGGUAACUCAUCUUAAAUAUCACACUCUGGGUGUUGACCCUCCAGCGUGUUCAUCAACUGUUAUUUUUUUCUGCUGGUCUACUAGGGACCCAGAACAUUUUGUUACUCAGGACCUGUACUUUUGCCAGGUUUAAGACUUCAGUGUCAAACUUUUCAACAAAAAGACUUUGUUUGACUGUAUACACACGUUUCUUCUCUUCUGCUCCACAUGUACUGUUACAGUCUCAGCUGAGCUUUGUGCAUCUUAUGUAAUGCAAAUAUAUCAAAAAUGUGAUAACAUCACUACAGAUCUAAUGAAGCUCUUCCAUGGCAUUUUGCUGCACCUUAAUGGCAUAAACAAAAUACCUGAUAGUAUGGGCAGGGAGUCACCCUUGAAAAAUCAGGACUGAUGCAAAUGCAGGCUGGACCAUGAGGACUUGCAGCCCUUCAAGAGCUUUAUGGCAUCUUAACCCUCCAUCCUCUACAAAACUAGCCCUGGAACCAUUUCUUCAAAUUAUGGUGAGAUAAUAAACCUCCUUAUGUGUUCAGCUAUUUUGUGUCUCCUUCCAAUACACAAGGAGGACAGACUCUUGCUGCAUCCUUGGUUUCAGUGACCUUACCUCCACUGGAGGUAUCUUUUUAUUUACCUAUGAAUCUCAUUCAAGUUUCUCCUGUUCUCAUUUCUCAGAGAUGAAGCCUUGAACAACCUGUACAGAACAUGACGAACUACAGCUCUUGGGCUGGGAAGGUUCCCUGCUGCAAAUAAAGACACGCUUACUUUGGGGACCACACUAUGAUGGCUUAUGAUCGAUUACUCGGUGCUUCAGUGAAGUGAGAGGAGCAUCCCACAGCCUUGCUGCCUAGCAAGCAAGGAAGCCAGGGACUCUCCCCUGGUGGUAGAAGCAAGCGAGGUAAAAGGAGGAAGAAAAAAGAGGGUGGAGAAAAGGAGAGACCUCAGAAAUCCUGGAUGAGAAGAGAGCUGCUGCCUGAGUCAUCCAAGACCCACCGAGCCCCAUUUCCUGUCCCUGACUGUAGCCAGGAGGAGGCAUUUCCUGAAGCAUAUCUAAAAACAUCUCUAUCAAGUGAUUCCCCCUCCUGUUUUCUUCUCCCAUCCCCAGUAUGUUAAACACCUUCAAACCUAAAUGCUCUUAGCAUGAGUUGAAAGGGGCAGAACCGGGAUCCUGAUUUUUAGCCACACACUGUUGAAGGGAGAAUCUCCCAAGAGUUAGUUUAACAGUUUGUUUUCUUGGUUUCAGUAGAGUUUGUUCAUAUUAGCCCUGAUUCAGAAAUGCACUUUCAUACUUGGUGAGCUUAAAGCACAUGCUUUCACUAAUUAAAGAAUGGAAGGAAUAACGUGCUUUCCA
Long non-coding RNA from Dromaius novaehollandiae (emu), 9671 nucleotides. RefSeq lists it as uncharacterized. The record is from RefSeq and is a predicted model, not a curated record. The transcript is spliced from 2 exons. NCBI's taxonomy places the organism in Eukaryota, Metazoa, Chordata, Aves, Casuariiformes, Dromaiidae.